CAGAUUGGACCCUGGACCGUGUGAGGAGCUGGAGAGAGGAGGAGAAGAGCAGGAGGAACAGAAGUGAAGACUGCAGGAAGAAGAUCAACCACUGGAUCAGGUUGAGCAGAGCCGCAUCCAGCUUGGAUCCAAUGCCCCCAGGACCUGACAGCCUGAGAAGUCCCUGCUCAGCUUUCCUGAAGCCCCCCUCAGAGACUGGAGUCACCACAGGAGGUGGUCAGAUAGAUGUGAGACACAGGAAGAUCCCAAUGGGCUCAAGCUGUCUUCAUUUCUAAAUUAAAGGCUUUUCCCUUAAAACCAGAUGACAACAGCCACAUUAGGGGGGCCUCAUUGCUGCCUACAACUAGCUGAAGGGAGGCUGUAGCCAGCCUAAUAAUUGAUCCCAGGCAGCAGACUCAGCUGGGGAGCUCAGUGCAACGGGACCUGCACCUGGAGAGUUCCUGUAGAGGAUUCCUCCUUCACUGAGGCAUCUCCCAGGAGCUUCGCCAUGAGGUGAUCCCAGAAGCAGCACUUGGAAACACAGGACACAUCCCAUGCACAUCAGCUUGGAGGAUGAGUUAGGUCCCCAGCAUCUGGGCCAGCAGCGGUGUGGGCAGCAGGAGCAGGGACAAGACUGCCAUGUGCUUAGCACUGGCUGAGUACAGGACCUGCCUGGCAAACACUCAAGAGUCCUCCCAUUCCCAGUGGGAGACUGAUCUGAGGAGGCAGAUCAUGGGCACCACACGCUGGGAGAAGCUGCUGGAGGCAAACGUCGGCAGUGUUCUACUCUGAGUGAAUCACUUCAAGACAUUAAAGAGAGUCCAGGCUGGGGAUUACCUUUGGCUUCUGGUGCUUAUCUACGAUGAAAUAAAGGCCAAUUUGACAAUGAAA
Pogoniulus pusillus (Red-fronted tinkerbird) is the source of this 870-nucleotide long non-coding RNA. RefSeq lists it as uncharacterized. The transcript has 7 exons. Lineage: Eukaryota; Metazoa; Chordata; Aves; Piciformes; Lybiidae. The record is from RefSeq and is a predicted model, not a curated record.